UACGUAGGGUGCGAGCGUUGUCCGGAAUUAUUGGGCGUAAAGAGCUUGUAGGCGGUUUGUCGCGUCUGCCGUGAAAGCCCAGGGCUUAACCCUGGGUCUGCGGUGGGUACGGGCAGACUAGAGUGUGGUAGGGGAGACUGGAAUUCCUGGUGUAGCGGUGAAAUGCGCAGAUAUCAGGAGGAACACCAGUGGCGAAGGCGGCGACCUGGACGGACACUGACGCUGAGACGCGAAGCGUGGGGAGCAAACAGG
Molecule: ribosomal RNA, 252 nt
Filed under: uncultured bacterium
Lineage: Bacteria
Description: partial 16S ribosomal RNA
Rfam family: Bacterial small subunit ribosomal RNA
Source: RNAcentral